GAUAGGUACUGUUGUAAUAUUCAUAGUAUAAUAACAACAAACACAAACAAUUAUUUCCACCAAAUUUGGUAACAAUGACAGUUGUGGAGGCUGUGUUUAGAAGUAGGGAUUCCUUCUCAAUUCGAUUAUGCAGUUAGCUUGUCGGCUGUGGAGUGCUUCCAGUGGCUAAUGUUGCCUUGGAAAAAUCAAUAAAAGGCUGGCGAGAAGUAUAAAAUUAUCAAUUUGGCAAACCUUAAGUUCAGUUCAGUCCCUAUGUAGUUGUCAUGAAUUGUCUAGCUGGUAAACCUCGAGUGUUAUCCUUAUGUGGUUAACUGGAACCCAAAUGAUCAGAUUCAAAUAAAUAUUUUAAACAUGAUUAUUUGUGAACCAAAAUAUCAGACAGCAGUAAGCACUGGUGAGUUUUCUCUGGUUGAUGCAUACCAGGAGCUCCUAAUCUUCCUUUCUCAUCUCAUCAUGUUUAGUUGAACUCUGAAACUUAAUACUCAAGUCCAUAUGAAGUUGCUUAAGUUUAAUUUCCUAAAUGAUUGUUGAUUAGUUUGUGCAUUUGUAUUUAUGUUGAAGUUUUAUUAUGGUUACAGAAUGGCAAGUCAGCCAGCUACG
Molecule: unclassified non-coding RNA, 600 nt
Filed under: Hevea brasiliensis (rubber tree)
Lineage: Eukaryota; Viridiplantae; Streptophyta; Magnoliopsida; Malpighiales; Euphorbiaceae
Source: RNAcentral